CAUGCCGUAAACGAUGAUUGCUAGGUGUGGGGGGACUGACCCCUUCCGUGCCGGAGUAAACACAAUAAGCAAUCCACCUGGGGAGUACGACCGCAAGGUUGAAACUCAAAGGAAUUGACGGGGGCCCGCACAAGCAGUGGAGUAUGUGGUUUAAUUCGAAGCAACGCGAAGAACCUUACCAGGUCUUGACAUCCAUCUAACGAAGUAGAGAUACAUUAGGUGCCCUUCGGGGAGAGAUGAGACAGGUGG
RNAcentral lists this ribosomal RNA (249 nucleotides) under uncultured bacterium. RNAcentral describes it as "partial 16S ribosomal RNA". It matches the Rfam family "Bacterial small subunit ribosomal RNA", at positions 796 to 1041 of the family's 1533-position model. The record is from RNAcentral.